RNAcentral lists this transfer RNA (72 nucleotides) under Steinernema hermaphroditum. It matches the Rfam family "tRNA". From Rfam's summary of the family: Transfer RNA (tRNA) molecules are approximately 80 nucleotides in length. The record is from Rfam by way of RNAcentral. Lineage: Eukaryota; Metazoa; Nematoda; Chromadorea; Rhabditida; Steinernematidae.
GCCGGUUUAGCUCAGUGGCAGAGCGUCUGUCUUGUAAACAGAAGGUCGUAGGUUCGAUCCCUGCAUCCGGCA